GUGGGGAAUAUUGCACAAUGGGGGAAACCCUGAUGCAGCGACGCCGCGUGAGCGAAGAAGUAUUUCGGUAUGUAAAGCUCUAUCAGCAGGGAAGAAAAAAUGACGGUACCUGACUAAGAAGCCCCGGCUAACUACGUGCCAGCAGCCGCGGUAAUACGUAGGGGGCAAGCGUUAUCCGGAUUUACUGGGUGUAAAGGGAGCGCAGGCGGUGCGGCAAGUCUGAUGUGAAAGCCCGGGGCUCAACCCCGGGACUGCAUUGGAAACUGUCGUACUUGGGUAUCGGAGCGGUAGGUGGAAUUCCUAAUGUAGCGGUGAAAUGCGUAGAUAUUAGGAGGAACACCAGUGGCGAAGGCGGCUUACUGGACGAUAACUGACGCUGAGGCUCGAAAGCGUGGGGAGCAAACAGGAUUAGAAACCCCAGUAGUCC
This 427-nucleotide ribosomal RNA is filed under the name uncultured bacterium. RNAcentral's name for it is "partial 16S ribosomal RNA". It matches the Rfam family "Bacterial small subunit ribosomal RNA", at positions 354 to 796 of the family's 1533-position model. The record is from RNAcentral.